Non-coding RNA from Epinephelus lanceolatus (giant grouper), 2243 nucleotides. The record is from RefSeq and is a predicted model, not a curated record. Lineage: Eukaryota; Metazoa; Chordata; Actinopteri; Perciformes; Serranidae.
UGUCAGGGAACGAAUAUGUGGUGGUAAGUUAUUCCAGUGUGAUGGGGCCAUAAAUCUAAAAGCUCUCGUUCCAAUUGUGCUGAAAGUCUAAGUUGAUAUCUUGAUGAAUACUGGGGUCCGUUUCACAAAAGUAGGAUUCAGACAUCCAGGAUAAGUAAGUAAGCCUGGCUCAACCAAUCCAAAACAACAGAGUUCAGGCUUAAUUGGUUCCACAAACGCCAAGCCAGGAUAAGUAGACACGGAUUCAUCAAGCCAGGUGAAACUAAUCCUGGAUAAGUUGCAGCACAUGGCUCCUUAAAUAGACCCUGUAAUUGAUCACAGAUUCACUGAUUCACCAUGGCAUCACGUGCAGCAUACUUCUCCCCAUCGGAGCAGGACAUAAUUAUGGAGGCCUACGAAGAGGUAAAAGAACAAAUUAAAAAGAAAGGAAACACUGCCACCGCCAUCAAACAAAGAGAGAAAGCAUGGCAAAGUAUUGCAGACCGCCUGAAUGCGUAUGUAUUGCACAAACACACACUCACUACCCUGCUGAAUCCAUCACAAUUACAAUCCAAAUAGUUAAUUAACAUUCCCAAAAACGUAGUUAUACUCUGAUUAUGAAACUGCGAGUGAAAUGGACUGUAGAUGUGAAAUUAUGUAAAUGCAACUACAUAUUUGCUCCUCAGUUAUUUCAUUCACUAUCUAUGUGUGUGUGUGUGUGUUAUUUAUUUUGUCUUAAUUAAUUUAUUAUUCUUAGAUUAAACAUGACUGGGCCCAAACGAACUUGGCAACAAGUCAAGAUCAAAUAUAAGAACAUCCUGCAGAAUGCUGUUAAAAAAAAACCCACAAGCAAGGCACGGGUGGUGGGUGACCACCAGCUGACCUCACCCCUGCAGAGGACAGAGCCCUGGAACUUAACAGAGGCAGGCCUGUGUUAGAGGGGAUCCCUGGGGGGACAGACUCAAAUAUAAAUCCCUCCCAGGAAGAUGCCUCCCUCUUCAUUAAAGGUACAUUCUUCCAUCUUUACAUGGGACAUAACCAACCAUUCAUAUUGAAUCCAUUUGGACUAUCUGACUCUGUUUUACCUUGCAGUAUCUGGAAACACCAUCUCACUGUUGGAGCCUCCAACAGUGGCGUCACCAAUACCAGAGGAUGAUGAUCCAGUGAGUCCUCCAUCAAAGUCAUACUGUAAGCCUGGCAUGUCUCAUCUGCUUGCUUUAAUAUGAAUCCCUUUUAAAUGUGAUAGGGUGAAGGCACCAGUGGAGCAGCAGGAGCAGCAGAUGAAGUCGAUGAGGAGACUGUGUCUCUUGAUUCAAGAAGGUUUGAGGUAUCAUGUCAAAUGAAAGUACUCAUUCAGUCUACAAUGGUGAGAAGUCAUCAUCAUCUGGAGCCCACACAAAAUGUCAUUUCUGUAACAGGACCCAGAUGCUCUACAGGAUGAAAGCCAGCCUUGCAACAUAAACUCACAAGCUAUCAGACAGCUGUAUGCCACACAUCUGAAACGGCAAAUACAACUGGCCGAUAUGGACAUUGAAUACAAAAGAAGACAGAUGGCAGACCUCUCCGUGGAGUCCGAAAUUAAAAGGAGGAAACUGAGGAAACUGAACCUUGAAAUAAAAAAACUUGAGCGGGAGGUGAGUUUCACCUUCAGUGUACACUGUAUGCUGACUGUAACACAGACAAUCUAUUAAUUAUUAUUCUCCUUUCCUCACCCAGCUUCAAGAAGAAGAAUCUUAAAUAAAAGAUCAAAAGACCUUCUGUGGUGUUUGCUUGUUUAAUUUGUGCACAGUUAGGUGGGAUUGCAGAUUGUAUUCCACAGUCUGACAUAAUGCCUAGUGUCAUCUCUAUGGUAGCCCCAAGUGCUUUGAUUGGUUAGAAGUCACACACCAAAGACUGGCUGUAUUAAGACAAAAAGAAAUGCACAUAAUGUACCUGAAAUGCUAUUUCCCAGAUAUCAAAACACUUUAUGGCAGAAGUUGAGCAGUGUGAAGGUCAAACAGGGAGCAUUUUAAUCAAUUAUCUAUUCUUUAAGGCAAUAGGUAUCCUGAUAAUUAGAUAACCAUUUGUAGCUUGUGAGAGUGCAAAGGUGUUCCUCAUUAAAUCUAGCGAUCCAAUAGCCUAUAUGAAGGCCCAAAAUGGUGUGUUCCUUCCUGCUCAAACAAUGGCGUGUCCAUUCCUGCAAGAGGUUGUGGAUGGAGAAGCUCUUGUGCUCAGGAGAGCCUUCAGGCGGGAGAGGGUCUUCAGGGACAGGGCGAACCCAUUGG